Molecule: transfer RNA, 101 nt
Filed under: Promethearchaeota archaeon
Lineage: Archaea; Promethearchaeati; Promethearchaeota
Description: Candidatus Lokiarchaeota archaeon tRNA-Thr
Rfam family: tRNA
About the family: Transfer RNA (tRNA) molecules are approximately 80 nucleotides in length.
Source: RNAcentral
GCCUCUGUGGCUUAGCGGUACAUCAUGAUUAGUAAAAAAUGGUCCGUAAUAGCAGCAGAUUCGUAAUCUGCAGGUCGGGGGUUCAAUUCCCCCCAGAGGCU